AGCUGUUGCUGCCCUCCGUCCCUCCAAGUUUGUGCAUCACCUCUUGUAUGAUAUCAUCAGUGAUAAAGAGCUUGGGGUUGUGAUACAAACACUAGAAGGAAGUGAAGCAAAACUAGGAAGUUGAUUAGAAAGAGGCAGAACAUAUGGUCAUGGUCCUUGUCAGUGGCAGCCCUUUGUGUUGACCUUGAGAGAACAACCAGAUGUGUUCCUCCUCAGACCAGAUGUCACCAGUUCUUAUCUCCCAGCAGCAAGAAGCUUUAGCAGUCAGGUGAGAUAGGAGGAAAUGCUCAUGAUUUUUAUUGUUUUAUUUCUUUUAAAGGGGUAGUAGCAGUUGGAAAUAAUGGUGAUGUUACAGGAGGGGUCAGAGAACCCAGAUGCAGGCACAGAAGCUGACAAACUUGUUUUAACAGAAAAUGGACUUUAUUUAGAAUAAACAAAAGCCUAGAGAUACAAGCUAAGGAGGAACUAGGAACAGGCAGGGAGGAAGGCUGAAGUUGACAAGCAAAAUCUAACUGGGAAAACAGACAAGACUACAAAAUUCAACAAAGACUCUAACGACUGAGGGGAAAUCUAAGAAAACCAUAAAUGAAUAACCUAAACUAAUCCAUCAAAACAGGGUACUGACAAUGGGAAGAAACUAAAUGGAAGGGCUAGGUAGCAGACUCAGGGAACUCUGGAGAUGGUAGAACACAAAACAAAAUAUCCACAGGUUGGAGACAGAACAGGAACAGAGGUGGGAAUCCAAAUGGGGGAAGGUGAGUCCAGAUGGGAAAUCCAAGCAGAAACUGGCAGAGGCACAAGGGCAGAGUUUUGUCCAAGAAGCUGUGGUGGUCAUGAGUUGAUGCAGGAUAUGAGAGUCUAUGGUCCAGCAUGGAAUGAAUGACAGAGCUGGCUUAAAUAAAGGGAGGUGGAAUUGCUAACAAGUGACUAGUGUAAGCUAAUUACAGCAGCUGAUUCUCAUUGCUGCAAUCAGACUGCAGGCAGGUGGAAGAUUCAGAGAGCAGAGAGACACAGGAGAGAGGAAGACAGGCAGAAAGACAGAGAGCCAGAGGUGCAAGACAAGGAGAGAGAUGACAUGGGAUGAGUGAGGGAGAGAUAUGAGAGAGAGAGACCUGAGAGAGUGACCAUACAUCUUUCCAUUAUCUAUACACCACUUAUGAUGCACAAAGAUCUAUUUCCAGUUUGGACCGAGAACCAAGUAAAGAUGGGCCUUUGGUCAUUGUGUUUUUGGUGGCCAUUUGGUUCUUCCAAUUCAAAUUUUUGUUGUCCUUUAAGGUGUGGUGCCCUAUAAAGAUUGUAUUUGUUCUGUGGGACGUCUGUUGAUAAAAUGUGGACACUGUCUCCAGUCUGAGGAUUGUAAAUGCCUUAAAAUCUGCUCUUUUGUUGUUCUAAGGUUAGUUACAGCUGAUUGAUCCUACAUACACAACUGUUCAAAGUUUGGAGUCACCUAGAAAUAUCCUUAUUUUUGAGAGAAAAUAUGUUUUUUCCAACAAAGAUAACAUUAAAUUAAUCAGAAAUACAGUCUAGACAUUGUUAAUGUGGUAAAUGACUAUUCUAGCUGGAAACGGCUGAUUUUAAUAGAAUAUCUCCAUAGGGGUACAGAGGAAGAUUUCCAGCAACCAUCACUCCUGUGUUCUAAUGCUACAUUGUGUUAGUUAAUGGUGUUGAAAGGCUCAUUGAUGAUUAGAAAACCCUUGUGCAAUUAUGUUAGCACAUGAAUAAAAGUGUGAGUUUUCAUGGAAAACAUGAAAUUGUCUGAGUGACCCCAAACUUUUGAAUGGAAGUGUAUCCUAUAAGAAAAUAAACAUAUUCCAAUUUGAUAUUUGUGCAGCCUAAAGACGACAGCUUUGUGUGUUCAUAUGCCUUGCACAUCCACACAGGUGUUUUCAGUGACUCAGAAAGUAAUUAGACUUCUGGUCAGACUGACGAUGGAUGCUGCUGUGAAACUCUUUGCACUAAGUAGAAAGAUUUUACGUUUUCCCACCAUAACAGGUGCAACAGAGCUAAGAGGAGUUGAGAUGCAAAACUGUGAGCG
Molecule: long non-coding RNA, 2035 nt
Organism: Amphiprion ocellaris (clown anemonefish)
Lineage: Eukaryota; Metazoa; Chordata; Actinopteri; Pomacentridae
Exons: 3
Source: RefSeq, a predicted model, not a curated record